ACGAAAUUCUUCCUUGGGUUUAGAGGAGCUUUGGAAUACUUCCUUGGGUAUAAAUCCUGGUGAUGGAAACACAGAAACACUUCCGGUAGAAAGCGUGAUUUCCAUGGGCACCUUUAGAUCGAUAUUGGUGGAUAAUUGGUCAAAUAACCCACCAGAUAAAACUUCCUUGGAGGUUACGAAUACAAUGGGCGACACUUUAUGGUGGAUGUUCUUUAAUACCUCGGGUACUGACAGACCUUUGUCUUCUUGGAUGACAGCCUCUAAUGUUCUCAACAGUUCAGUCAAUUCAGUUCCUUCCAUUUAUGAAUCCAAAUUUCACUUCAACCAUGAACCAUGUGACC
Long non-coding RNA from Saccostrea echinata, 341 nucleotides. RefSeq lists it as uncharacterized. The record is from RefSeq and is a predicted model, not a curated record. The transcript has 3 exons. Lineage: Eukaryota; Metazoa; Mollusca; Bivalvia; Ostreida; Ostreidae.